CCUCUUGAAAAUGGACUCCUGUGAUUUUGCUUCAGAAGGAAGGAUCUCAGAGGUUAACAGCUGACACAUUUUUAGAAGAAAAGACAGGCCCUUGGAGGGUUAGUGGCUGGUGACAGUGAGUCAGGACUGUCCUCAUCUCAAGACAUGUGCUUGUUCGUCCAUGUUUGCGAUGUAUAUCUCUCAACCAAAGUACCUUGAAGGACACUCUGCCCUUGCACGCUCUUUUUAUAAUUUAGCUGCAGACAUAUGGAGCAGCUGAGUAUUUAUGUUUGUUUCUUUAAUGUGUGAAACUCUAACACAAGAUUGGUAUUUUAAAAUGUACUGAACCAUGUUCUUUUUAAAAAAGAAAAUCAAGAUGUCAAGAGAGACUUUCCAACAGUAUACACAGAGAGUAAGAUGCAUAGAAUUGGAAGCAGAAACAGCCAUGGGAGUAGGUCAUUCAGCAAGCAGACCAAUUAUUUAAGGUGUCUGUGACUUUGAACAGGUUUUAUAUAUUCUCCACCACCAAGUAGAAUCAAAGCUUCUUGGGGGGCAGUAUUUAAGCACUGUGUUUUUAAAAAUAAAAUCUUAUACUCUAGUAUAGCUCCUAGUAGAGUUUACACCUUUAGAAAAAUGCCAGUUUCAAGCCAGCUUGAAGAGGAGAACUGGAAAGCUAGGACAGAGUCUGUGAAACUGCUACAUUUCUGUGGUCAAGGAGCUUAGGUUGCUUUGGCACUUAUGCAGUAGCUUAAUUUAAAUAGUGACCUGAGAAAAUGCCUCAUAUUUACUUUAUUCAAAUCAUUCUAUUGUAUAUGUUUGGAUUAGCAUGCCAAGUCUAAAGAUUGAGCUUUAGAAAGCAACUGGUUGUAGUCAUUAGCUGCUAAGAAACAUACACACCUCAAUUCUGUUGUAAGUACCAUAGUAAUACCUCUUCCUCCUCGCUGAAGAAAUUCAUGGUCAGAGAGUUAAUGUUUUGUUUUUUUUUUCUCUUUCCUAAGUACCUUGAGACAUGUAAGUUGUGAAUGUACCAACAUCAUUAAUCUACCCAAAGGAAGGAAUCCACCUCCACAUAUUUGUAGAAAAUGGUUUAUGAACAUUUCAAAGACAAUGGAAUGGUGUUUUGAAUAGACAGCACUGUGGUUAAAAGAAAAGCUUGAGUGUUUCUUAGUCAGUCAUUUAUUCACCUUACUCAUGAAAAGGUAUGCCAGUGGCAUCAUGGUGGGCAGAACACUGUGCCAGUGACUGGAGGAAUAUGGGAACUGUGUGAAAUUGGUCAUGUUCUUCUGUGUGGUGAUUGUUUUUAAAGGAAUGACAGUCAAUUGGGAGAGAACUGUCAACCAUUCCUACUGGGUUUCCUUUCUAGAUGCUAGGAUUUCUGAGGUGAUUUCAUGCCAUUUUAGUUCUCCUGAUGUAAUUAUUAAGCAUCUACUGCUGAUUGUACACACACAACACACUGGAUAACGUGGCUGUCUGGCUUUGCUAGGCCUCUCAGUGUUGGAGAAAGGUGUAUACAUAAAUGAUUGAGGGGUGUUUGAGGGGCACAGAACAAGUCCUGCUCCUUGGGGUAGUGGUGGGGUGGGGGAACAAGUGAAUAAUUCCAGUUUGCUCUUUGAUGAGGGUACAACUCCUGGAACUCUCUGGGGUAGAACCCAAAUGGGCAGAAGUAAUAAUAACAUUGUAGAAGAAAGCAGUUGGAACAGACAUUGAUGGGUUUGGAGGUUUUGAUGUCUUUCUUCAAUCCCAUUCCAUUUAGAUUUUCGGGAAGGUGAAGCAGCAUAAUGGGACAAGUGGAGCAUGAUUCUUGUACUUAAGAAAUUUGGUGUUGAAUUCUAAUUGUGCCAGAAUUGCCUUGGGUUUUAUUAGACCUCUUGAAAGCUAAAUUUGCUUGUCUCCAAGAUGCUUUCUGUCUCUUGCAUCAUUUUUAGCAUGUGACAUGUUUCUUACUUUAGCUAACAGCUGGAGGUCACUCGAAGGAAACAAUUUGACAAAUCAACUUCAGAAUAAGCCCUUUGCAUCCAGUUGAAGAAUACACAGCAAUGUUUUGUAGAUGUAGCACACUGUGGAGCUUUUAAGGUCUCCGUGGUAACUAAGGGUUAAACAUACCUGUGAUUAAACUCCACUGCCAUGGUUUACUUUAUAUACUAAAGAAAUUCUUGGAAGUUUAUAGGGAAAUCUAAUGUCCUAAUUAAGUUAUAUUAUACAGGCACCAGGAAAACUGGUUUCCAAAGGCACUCCAGUCACACCUUUUAUUAAAAAAUGUUUUUAUAAGCAGAUAAUUAAUCCCUACUUAUCUGUUUAAUUUAAAAUUUUGCACCUAUGGCUGGGCUUCACUCCCAGCAUUUCACUUUGUAUACACAAAUGUGAGGACUCCACUUCAGAAUUGAGGUGAUUUGAAAACUCCCCAGGAAUAUGUAUAAAAUCUUCUUAGUUUGAAAGCCAAGUCAAACUUGUGAAAGGAAAACAUCUUUCUUUUGGAAAGGUGUUUCCUUUUUGUUCUUUUUCAGUGUAUUGGCUGGGUUCUGAGGAGACAUUUAUCACUCAUGUCAGUGUGUGUGUAUAUUGCAGUUCAGAGUGUUACCUGCUUACCUUAAUAAAACAAUGAAGCAUAGGUAUAAAUGAAGGAACAUGCGGAUCAGCCAUCAGUGCAUGAGUGGACUGAAUGCUAUGAAAUUGCAUACUUUUCUGUUGGAUGUUUCAUGGGAGAGACUUUGCUUAGAAGUUAGCUGAGUAAUCAUGUGAUCUUGGUAUAAAUGUUAAGCAUUCAGUAUGGCUUUGAGUCUGAACAAAAGAGCAAACAAGCCCUGGUGUGAUGAAGAAGGGAGCAGGAGCCUGGAGAUGCCUGAAGAUGUUGGUGAGAAUCACAACCUGGUGUGCAUGGGGGUGGUCUCCUCACCAACCCUUGGCACAGUGGGUUUCAUCUUCACCUUGAAGGAGAGCAGGCCAGACAAGACCUCAGCACAGCUUUGCAACUGUGUCCACCCUCUCUUCUCUUCUAAGAGUUCACUUGGAAGGCUUGGCAAUACUCAGCUUUCACGUCACUUCUGGCUUCCAACAUUCUAUAAAUGCUCUCAGAAAACAAAAGUCCAAGAGGAUUUCCUAUCCCCAGGACCUGGCCCAAGCUGAGAGAAGCUGUGUGGAGUGGAAGAUGGACAUUGAGGAAGAAGGGCAGGUGUGGUCUCACCCAGAAUGGUUCCUGCUGCUUCUGCGGUGCCCAGGCU
Long non-coding RNA from Nomascus leucogenys (northern white-cheeked gibbon), 3197 nucleotides. RefSeq lists it as uncharacterized. The record is from RefSeq and is a predicted model, not a curated record. NCBI's taxonomy places the organism in Eukaryota, Metazoa, Chordata, Mammalia, Primates, Hylobatidae.